Molecule: unclassified non-coding RNA, 1539 nt
Filed under: Hevea brasiliensis (rubber tree)
Lineage: Eukaryota; Viridiplantae; Streptophyta; Magnoliopsida; Malpighiales; Euphorbiaceae
Source: RNAcentral
AAAGCAAAUUGAAUAUUAAAUAAGUUGAUGUCUCUCCCACAAUACAUGAUACAAGCUCCGAAAGGCCAAAAAGGGAGAACCCCUCUGACUUGCCUUCAGGCAAAAAACGUUUGAAAGAAAAAUGAUAAUUUCUUCCGAAUGAUAAAAUCAUAUAUGCCAAAAAAAAAAGCAUUAGUUUAUUGAAAGCGUCGUUUUAGUGCAAGUUAGGCGAACUUAUCGGCCAUCUGAAGUAGGGGCCAGAGGGUGCUAUGUCUUCUUAAUGGAAAUCGUCCAAAGAAGAUCUGAACUGGACUGUACGGUUACCUUCUCUCCUUUGACUAUGUUCGAUGUACUUAUUAGACCACCAAAAGUCAUCUCCAUGUUAGCUGAAAGAAACGAAAUAUAAAUUUUACCAUCCAUGAUACUUGUAUGGCACAUGAUAUAAUCCCAGAAUAAAAUCUAUCAGAACUGUUUUAAUCAUGUCAAAAUGAAGCUCCAGAUUUUUUUGGCUUUGGUUGUUUGGUAAUCAUUCAGUUGCAUUCACCAAUCACAAUCAUAUGAUUGUAUACCACAAGGUCUAUAGGAGCUGUAGUCUCUUAAGCCACGCAAAACACAAAACAUGCAAGUAUGACAAAGAUAUGAUUUACAGACAACAGUAGAGUCAGAUUUUAGCUCAGCUAGUUACAGCUUAUUAGCUAAGAAAGGAAGAAUUAAUGCUAUAUACUUACUGAGAUCCCAUUGGAGUCCAGUUGUUGUGGUAUUUCCAGAUGGCAUCCCUAUGGGAAUGAGUCCGCAAUUUGGACCCUCAACAGAGGAUUGGAUAUAAAUCUCAUGAUAGUGAGACCUUGGAAGGAGGUAGAUGAGGCAGUCAUCAGAUAUAAGAAUUAUUCUCAUGGUUGAGAAACGAUAUAAAACAUUUAUGUUUCCAGCCUCAUGGUCAAAUCGUCCACCAAGCGCACCAGCCACAAGAAUGCAAAGAUUAGAUUUGUCCAAGUUUGGAGUGAAGUCACGAAUAUAUGAAAUGCACUUAUGUAGAUCUGUGGUGUCUUGAUCAUGAGAUUCAUCAACAACCUUGGUUCCCAAGCUGGUAUAGAAGUCCAGUACUUCUGUUCGGAUUGAAUCCAUGUCUCCCUUGAUUACAUCUGGCUUGUACCUGUGCCGAACGUCGAGAGCAUCUUCGUGCGGGAACAACAAAGGCAUUUCAUCGUAGACCCGAUUGGCGCCUCCAUCUGCACAAAGGCGUAGUUGUGCGUGCUUCCAGAGGAGAGGAGUGAACCUUGGAAGGCGUUGGUUAAGCAAGACGAGGACGUAGGUAAGAGAAGGGCGGUGGUCGCCGGAGAUCGUGGGGAGGAGGAAAGUGGAAGAAUGGGCCAUGAGGUCCAUUUGGCCUGCUGUCUAGAAGGAGAAGCUCGCCAGGAAGUGGAAGAAAAAAUAACAAGGUCUGGCUUUCUAUUUUGGCAAACCAUCGUGCCCAAGCAUAAUAUCUAGGAGGAAUUGGUUUGGUUAAAAGUCAAACUACGACUCUCCUCCGGCCCCAUUUUCACUCUCUCUGCACGCCAA